GACGAACGCUGGCGGCGUGCUUAACACAUGCAAGUCGAACGGAAAGGCCCUGCUUUUGUGGGGUGCUCGAGUGGCGAACGGGUGAGUAACACGUGAGUAACCUGCCCUUGACUUUGGGAUAACUUCAGGAAACUGGGGCUAAUACCGGAUAGGAGCUCCUGCUGCAUGGUGGGGGUUGGAAAGUUUCGGCGGUUGGGGAUGGACUCGCGGCUUAUCAGCUUGUUGGUGGGGUAGUGGCUUACCAAGGCUUUGACGGGUAGCCGGCCUGAGAGGGUGACCGGCCACAUUGGGACUGAGAUACGGCCCAGACUCCUAAUGGAGGCAGCAGUGGGGAAUAUUGCACAAUGGGCGGAAGCCUGAUGCAGCAACGCCGCGUGCGGGAUGACGGCCUUCGGAUUGUAAACCGCUUUCGCCUGUGACGAAGCGUGAGUGACGGUAAUGGGUAAAGAAGCACCGGCUAACUACGUG
RNAcentral lists this ribosomal RNA (468 nucleotides) under uncultured bacterium. RNAcentral's name for it is "partial 16S ribosomal RNA". It matches the Rfam family "Bacterial small subunit ribosomal RNA", at positions 28 to 507 of the family's 1533-position model. The record is from RNAcentral.